RNAcentral lists this long non-coding RNA (475 nucleotides) under Pan troglodytes (chimpanzee). RNAcentral's name for it is "long non-coding RNA NONPTRT012617". The record is from RNAcentral. Lineage: Eukaryota; Metazoa; Chordata; Mammalia; Primates; Hominidae.
GGAGAAGUCAGCUUUCAUAUCACAAAGACACUCAAGCAGCACUGUGAAGAGGCACAGGUGGUAAAACUGAAGACCUUCACAAACAGCCAGCACUAAUUUGCCAACCAAAUGACGGUCUUUGGAAAACAGAUCCUCUGGCCUCAGGUGAAAAAUGAGAAGAUUAAAUAAGCCAUGGGAAGAUUUUUUAAAAUGACAUGAAACUCCAAGGGUAAAAAGUAGGCAUUUCCACCUUUCCCUGCUUCAUCCAUACCUCCAAAAACAGAACCCUUCAAAGAACGUCCUGAGAAGAACAACUGGCCACUGAUUUUGAGUUGAACACUGGCAGGCAACACCCCAACAACCACACAGACCCCAUAGCUCUCAUUGCAGGAGGCGAGGGCAGCUGCCUGUUAGAAAGUGAUGCAAUACAGUAUAGGGGUUAAAAGAUGUAUGUGAGGAUUGAGCCUACAUCUUAAUUUCAGCUUAACUCCUAAAU